This 801-nucleotide unclassified non-coding RNA is filed under the name Hevea brasiliensis (rubber tree). The record is from RNAcentral. Lineage: Eukaryota; Viridiplantae; Streptophyta; Magnoliopsida; Malpighiales; Euphorbiaceae.
GCCGAAAGGAAAGAAGGCCAAGGGAAAGAAGGUGGCUCCGGCCCCAGCUGUCGUGAAGAAGCAGGAGGCUAAGAAAGUGGUGAAUCCCCUGUUUGAGAAAAGGCCUAAGAAUUUUGGCAUUGGACAGGACAUCCAGCCCAAAAGAGACCUCACCCGCUUUGUGAAAUGGCCCCGCUAUAUCAGGUUGCAGCGGCAGAGAGCCAUCCUCUAUAAGCGGCUGAAAGUGCCUCCUGCGAUUAACCAGUUCACCCAGGCCCUGGACCGCCAAACAGCUACUCAGCUGCUUAAGCUGGCCCACAAGUACAGACCAGAGACAAAGCAAGAGAAGAAGCAGAGACUGUUGGCCCGGGCCGAGAAGAAGGCUGCUGGCAAAGGGGACGUCCCAACGAAGAGACCACCUGUCCUUCGAGCAGGAGUUAACACCGUCACCACCUUGGUGGAGAACAAGAAAGCUCAGCUGGUGGUGAUUGCACACGACGUGGAUCCCAUCGAGCUGGUUGUCUUCUUGCCUGCCCUGUGUCGUAAAAUGGGGGUCCCUUACUGCAUUAUCAAGGGAAAGGCAAGACUGGGACGUCUAGUCCACAGGAAGACCUGCACCACUGUCGCCUUCACACAGGUGAACUCGGAAGACAAAGGCGCUUUGGCUAAGCUGGUGGAAGCUAUCAGGACCAAUUACAAUGACAGAUACGAUGAGAUCCGCCGUCACUGGGGUGGCAAUGUCCUGGGUCCUAAGUCUGUGGCUCGUAUCGCCAAGCUCGAAAAGGCAAAGGCUAAAGAACUUGCCACUAAACUGGGUUAAAU